This is a long non-coding RNA of Papaver somniferum (opium poppy), 548 nucleotides long. RefSeq lists it as uncharacterized. The record is from RefSeq and is a predicted model, not a curated record. The transcript has 2 exons. NCBI's taxonomy places the organism in Eukaryota, Viridiplantae, Streptophyta, Magnoliopsida, Ranunculales, Papaveraceae.
GAGUUAAUUCCCUCGUAACCAAGGCAAUGGAGGAAGCUAUUCACGCAACAUAAAUGGGUGAAGUGGGAAUCUCGGGGAAUAUGGCAAGAACGACUUCCAUUAUUCUCCGAUGAUGGGAUUAAGGGUGUCUAGGUGAAGAGUUUUUUAAAGUAUUAUUAUAAUAAAAUAAAAUAAACAGAUGGAGAUAGAAACAUCAAUAUUUUCAUUUUGAUGAGCUCAAAAUAGUGUUUGUAUUAUACGUACUCGGUCAGUGUCUAUUUCCAAAUGAUAGCUUAGUGACGUUUCAUGGUUUUCUCGAACCCUUAGAGGAUUGAAAAUGAGCACCAACACUAAACCGGGCGUCUGAAAUUCUAUAUGAACUGAACAUAAUCCUCGGUGCAUACUCGGACUCUAAAUCAAGCCUAAAUGGUUUUUAGAGAGCUUCAGAGAUAAAAACCACAAUUCAUUCAUAUCCUUUAUUUAUAUUUAUUUUCAUUUUUGAAAUGAUAAUGUAACGCCAAUGUUAUUAUCUUUAGUACAAGUGGUAUACUUACUUUCGUGUUGGUGAA